AACGAACGCUGGCGGCAUGCCUAACACAUGCAAGUCGAACGAUGGUCUUCGGAUCAUAGUGGCGCACGGGUGCGUAACGCGUGGGAAUCUGCCCUUGGGUUCGGAAUAACAGUUGGAAACGACUGCUAAUACCGGAUGAUGUCGAUAAGACCAAAGAUUUAUCGCCCGAGGAUGAGCCCGCGUCGGAUUAGCUAGUUGGUGGGGUAAAGGCCUACCAAGGCGACGAUCCGUAGCUGGUCUGAGAGGAUGAUCAGCCACACUGGGACUGAGACACGGCCCAGACCCCGACGGGAGGAGGGAGUGGGGAAUAGUGAACAGGGGCGGCAAGCUUGACCCAUCAUGGCCGGGGGAGUGAUGAGGCCGUUGGGUUUGAAAAGCUUUUUUACCCGGGAAGAUAAUGACUGCCCCGGAAAAAAAAGCCCCGGCUACCUCCGUC
This 436-nucleotide ribosomal RNA is filed under the name uncultured bacterium. RNAcentral describes it as "partial 16S ribosomal RNA". It matches the Rfam family "Bacterial small subunit ribosomal RNA", at positions 29 to 507 of the family's 1533-position model. The record is from RNAcentral.